CAGAGGCACGCUUCCAGGAUGGCGUCAUGCACAAACACGUACUGUUCCUGCACAGCCAAGCGGAGGGAACAGGGAACUAGCAAAUGCACUGAUGGGUGGAAACAAUGGAAGAAGAGCAGAGAGAUAACUGAGAGGAAAUGAGUGAAAGAGUCACAACAGGAGACCUCUGAGCUAUCCCAAAGGCAGAAGGAUGCUACAGGCCAGUGACUGACAGAAAUGAAGCAAAGGCAGCCCACGGUCACAUGAAGGAGGUAGGUACAGGCAAACUCUGGAGAAGACCAUGUUAAAUAUCCUUGCUCUACCAUUGCACACCUGUGUCACAUCUUGGUUUCCUUGUCUGUAAAAUGGGAAUGAUAAUAAUAACCACUUCUCAAGGCUGGAUGAGAAGUAACUGAAAUAUGUGGGCAGGCGCAUAUGGCAGACACAGCAGAUGCUGCUAGCGCCCUGGCUGCAUUUCCUGGCUGCAAUAUUAACACCAUUGAUACUGCUUCUACUACAGCAACUUGUUGUCAGAUGUGGGGAUCUGGUUCUCAUCAGAAAUGACUGAGCACUGGAAUACAAGGGGGUAUCAAGGCCACUGGACAAGAGAACGUCACCCCUACCAAGAGAGCAAAACUGUACAGGCACACUUGGUUGGUGCGUGGCUUUGACUCACCUGCAGUGGACCACUAUGGGCCCAGCUUCUGGGGGAUUGAGGAACUUGACCUGGCGGACGAAGCCCAGAAGGCCAGU
Molecule: long non-coding RNA, 732 nt
Organism: Fukomys damarensis (Damara mole-rat)
Lineage: Eukaryota; Metazoa; Chordata; Mammalia; Rodentia; Bathyergidae
Exons: 3
Source: RefSeq, a predicted model, not a curated record